UACGGAGGGUGCAAGCGUUGUCCGGAUUUAUUGGGUUUAAAGGGUGCGUAGGCGGCCCGUUAAGUCAGCGGUGAAAUCCCGGGGCUCAACCCCGGAACUGCCGUUGAUACUGGCGGGCUUGAGUUCGGUCGAGGCGGGCGGAACUGGUGGUGUAGCGGUGAAAUGCAUAGAUACCACCAAGAACCCCGAUUGCGUAGGCAGCUCGCUAGGCCGAAACUGACGCUGAGGCACGAAAGCGUGGGGAGCGAACAGG
Molecule: ribosomal RNA, 253 nt
Filed under: uncultured bacterium
Lineage: Bacteria
Description: partial 16S ribosomal RNA
Rfam family: Bacterial small subunit ribosomal RNA
Source: RNAcentral